GUGGGGAAUCUUAGACAAUGGGCGCAAGCCUGAUCUAGCCAUGCCGCGUGAGCGAUGAAGGCCUUAGGGUUGUAAAGCUCUUUCGUGGGGGAAGAUAAUGACUGUACCCCAAGAAGAAGCCCCGGCUAACUCCGUGCCAGCAGCCGCGGUGAUACGGAGGGGGCUAGCGUUGUUCGGAAUUACUGGGCGUAAAGCGCACGUAGGCGGACUGGAAAGUCAGGGGUGAAAUCCCGGGGCUCAACCCCGGAACUGCCUUUGAAACUCCCAGUCUUGAGUUCGAGAGAGGUGAGUGGAAUUCCGAGUGUAGAGGUGAAAUUCGUAGAUAUUCGGAGGAACACCAGUGGCGAAGGCGGCUCACUGGCUCGAUACUGACGCUGAGGUGCGAAAGCGUGGGGAGCAAACAGGAUUAGAAACCCCAGUAGUCC
Molecule: ribosomal RNA, 425 nt
Filed under: uncultured bacterium
Lineage: Bacteria
Description: partial 16S ribosomal RNA
Rfam family: Bacterial small subunit ribosomal RNA
Source: RNAcentral